This 5246-nucleotide long non-coding RNA is filed under the name Sus scrofa (pig). RNAcentral's name for it is "lncRNA (ENSSSCG00005020632.1)". Lineage: Eukaryota; Metazoa; Chordata; Mammalia; Artiodactyla; Suidae. The record is from RNAcentral.
UGGGUGGUAGGGACAGUGUUCCCUGAAAUGGUGGCUGUUCUUAAAGGCACCGGAGAGUGGGGUGGCUGGUCAGUGGUUGGGACAUGAACCAAGAGAAGUUAAGAGGACGGAUGGACUUGGUUCCCCAAACAAAAUUUGAAGGAAAACCAGGGCUCCAAGGCAUUAGACCUCUCCUUUAGACGUGUGAAAGGAUUUUAAUCUGAAAUGGAACUGAGCAUAUGAAACGAAGAAUCACAUGCAUGCACCUUCAGAAGAAAGAAACUUAAGAAUGGAGGGAAUGUCCAAAAACUACCUGAUCUAUGGAAGACUUAGACUUAUCUCUUGACCAGUGAACACGCACCAGGAAUCUCUCCCCAUCCUCAAGCCAGUGAACUUACAGCUUGGCCUCUAUCUGGGUUUCCCCCUCUUCACACUUCCUGCCCUUAAACACAGCCGACCCCAACCCUUCAAUGACUGGCCUGUAGCACUAAUGCAUGAACUGCCUAAUGCAAUUCUUCUGCUAUUCCAGAAAAAUUCAAGUUGUGGUAAUAGGAGCUUGCUUCAGUCUACUUCUCGAUUUAGGUUGACUGUCUUCAUUCAUGAGCUUAGAUUCAUCUUUCUUUCCUCUGAAUUCUCCAUCCUGUGACUCAAACUUAGUCCGGGCAGUAUUGCCAUGGCCCUAACAGGGUCAGAACAAAUUAUCUUCUGAAGAUUUAAAAGACUUCCUGCACAAUUUUAACAUGUAGUAAGUGGUUAAUUGAUGCUCAAAUUGGUCAGAGACUUUUCGGUUUAUGCUUCUGUUUUGCCAUUUGGGCUCAGCAAUCUCCAGUCAGCACGCUUCACCCUUGUUUUACAGCUGACAUUGUCUUAACCACAAUUUCAAGGGUUAUUUCUCCCCUUCUUUUUCUUUAACUGCUUUUGGAUUUUGUUUUCUUGAAUGGCUUCUUUUUUCAUGAAAGUGUUUUCUCAGGGAGAGAGUCCUUUUUGAAAUGAUACCUACCUUCUAGUGCAAAGCGUCUCUGUGUCUGUUCAACAAAGCGUCUCCUGUUUUUUAUUCUAAAACCCCACUCUUGUGCCAAGGACCCAUUAAUCAUACCCAAAGGAGUACAAAAGGUCCUGGUUGACCACCUGUCACCUAAUCUUCCUCAGGCAUGAACUGGGAGAAACCCGAUCAUGUGGUGAGAUGAGUCAAGUUUGGUUCCGAAUGCAUCGCCAGUUCUUUUAAAGACGAUUUUAUUUUGAGGCAGGAGCGUUACAGACGUGCAUUAGGAUUUUUGUUUUCCCAGCCUCCUGGGUAAAAAAAAAAAAAAUCUUGAUUUUUGAGACAUUGUAUAUUUUUGUUUUGCAACAAAAUAAUUGAUAGUAACUUUAUAAUGUUUCUUAAAGAUUGCAAAAUAUCAUUUUCUCCAAGGGGUUUUGGAAAUGGGAGUCCUAUAUCAUCAUCAUCACCAUCAUCGCUAUUAGUGGUGGUGGUGUAUUAAGGUAGGGAACAGAGGCCACUAAAAAUGAAAUUUCCAACCAUGCAGUCUUCAUUAAAAUACAGCUAUCUAUGUCUUAUCAGACCUGGUCAGCCCAAUGCAUUUCUAAUCUCUGGCUACUGCUCCAUCUUGCUCCCUUUAUUACUGGCCUAGGAAAACAUAGGGCUCAAUAAUUUGUAAAUGCAGUUGCAAUCCCUAAGAGAGAUAGGUCUGGAACUAGUUUUAGCAUAAGAAGAAAAUCACUGUGUGCUUUUCCUUAGGUUCCUAGAUUGCACGGUUGAUUUAACUCCACACAUAAACAGCUUAUCCACAUUUGUAGAUAUUAUUAUCAACUGAAUUCAGUUUAGCAAAAUACGCCUUUAUGGAGGUAGGGAGCUGGAGGGUGGGGGGAGCUGGCUUUUCCGAUUGCAAGACCUGAGCUGAUCUGGCUUCAGAGCCUGACUGCCUGUGGCCUUGGCCUCACUCCAAUGAAUUCUCUGGUGCCCGGGUUCUUCACAUGCAAAGUGGAGAUAACAAUGCUCCCGGCAUUACAGGUUUAUGAAGAGGAUCGGAUCCUGUCUGUAAAGUGCUUGGGAACUUGCCUGCCUCUUCGGGACCCCUUCAUAAAGGUCAAUCAAGUGGAUGAUCAUUCCUGCCCUGGCCAAGUGUCCAAGCUUCCAGAUGUUGAAAUGUUGGAAAUGUAAGAGCUCCGACAUCAAUGCAUUGAUUGACAAAAACAUCUCCCAGGAAAGAAACAGGUGGUCACACAGAGGGGGAGCCUGAUACAGGUAACCCUCAGUGGAAAAGUCAAGCCCAAGUGAUUCCUGACCAUUGAAGCUAUGAUGCCUUCAUUCAGAAAAUUGCAUAUCUGAGAUACCAAACAGAAAGCUUUGAAAAAAAUGAACAGAAGCCUCAAUUACAUCCAAUGGGGAGACCGGAAGGGGGAGCUCUCACACCCUGGGAUCAUUGCAGAGCUUAACAGGAAGAGGAAGUCCUAGCAGAUCCUAGCAGAGCUUAACAGGAAGAGAAGUCCUUUCCUGGCAAGGACUUAGUCAAUGAAAAGCCAUGAACUCUGUUUAUAUUCAUUUUCCUCUCUGUAAAAUUGUUUUCCUUCCUUUGUUUCGGGGGUCUUGUGCAUGGCUCAACAUGGUUGCAGAACCUGCACUGCAAUUCUCUGCUGUUCCCUCUUUGCUGGAGAAAUAGCCGCAAGUCUUUUGUUUCAAGUCAACAGCCUAGAGAGUUUUUACUGAGUGUAAAAUGUGACAGGCUCUCACGACUUCCAAAAUCUGCACAUUGCCCUCCAUGCUGGGGCUGGAUUGCGGAAGACAGGUUAACACAAGUGAAAGAGAGCCAGGGAUUUUUAUUGGACUGAAAACAGUGGGCCAAUAUAGCUGCACCAAAGGUUUGUGGUGCAGAGAUGUGUCCUGAUGUCCUGGGACCAGACCCAAGAUAGCUGCCCCCUCCAUGUUAGUGUGCCUGGACCGUGACCGCUCCAUUAUGGUCUCAAUUCGUCAUCAGGAGCCAAAGCCACCUCUGUGCUAACCAGGUCCCUCAGAUACCACUUGGCCCACAUUGGUUCAGCCUGAGUGCAUGAAAAAGGCAUCCAUCAAUAUUUACCUAAUGAAUGAGUGAAGGUGUGAGGUGGAAAUUUCUAGAAGACUCUUCAGAAAACUCACGAGAACCCAUGAGUCUGAAAUUGAAGUAAGUAUGAUUUCAAAAGGAAAGAUAUCUUAGUAGCAGAGAAAAUCACGUGGAGAAAUGUCUAUAUACUACAGAGAAUGAGGCCACAUCUCGAGGACGUUAGCCCACAUUUUAUACGAGAUAUUGGGUAUUUCGGGAAGAAGCAACACGGUGAACUGCCUAGAAACAAAAUCAUAGGAGUAUUGCAAAGUAGAAAAAAGUAUAAGACUGCUAUGUGUCAGGAAGUAAAUUGGACUCAAUUUUAAAAAUUAAAAGUUAUUGGGAGCAAAAGUCAUCCCAGCAUUUCUUGUUUUUUAAUGAUUAAAAUGGUCAAAAAGUGAGAAAAUAUAUUUUCCAUCAUUAGAUGUAAUUAAAUGAAGAUUCUUUGCUCCAUGUUCGGGAUUUAUGCUUUAGUUGAAGAAUUAAGCUAAUGUUUUCCAAGUGUCCUUUUAGUUCUGGCAUUUUGUGAUCUGGUGUGGGUCUAAUCCGCAGACAUACACAUGUAGGAAGAAGUCUGAGAAAGACCACCCGCUUCCAUGUUCAGCCCUGGAAACUGUGAGCCCGAUGGAACACCAGCCCCGACCAUGCUGGUGCAAGGCAUCGUUAUCCUUAAAACAGGGAGAUUAGCUGGGUGGUCCACGUCUAAUCAGAAAAGCCCUUAAGAGCAGAGAACUUGCUCUAGCUGUUCUAGAGCAAGAAGACAGGGGCAGAAGAAGUCAUGCAUUCAAAGCACUGAAAGGAUCUGACUCUAACCUUGAACAUGGCCACAUGAGAAGGAAUAUGGGCGACAUCUAGGAGCAGAGUGUGAUUUCCAGGUGAUGGCCAGCACGGUAUUGGGGACCUCAAACCUCUAACUGCAAGGAACAGAUUCUGCCAACAAUUGGAAUAAGCCCGGAAGCCUACUGUUCCCGGAUAGGUUCCCAGGAGGAUGGAGACAGACUGCUCCACCCGGCAAAUGUCGCGGUUCACUUUGGAGACCUGCCGUGGACGUGGGUACAGCCCAGCACAAAUCUAUGCACUUUCACGGAAUGUAGAUGCUCAAGUUGGGCAGCAAGAAACAAUGGCCUGUGGAAAACAACUGUCUGCAUAAAUUAACCACCUACAAGGAUUAGCUGUCCUUGGUCACGGUCACGGACUCAACCCCCUACCCCUCCCUUGACCUUCCCCUCCUCCUUCUUCAUCGUUCCUGGUCCAGGUUCCUGCCAUGAACUCCAUCUAGCCACAGAUUCCCACCAUAGAUCCUUUAUAAGCCUAGCACCUCCUCACAGUCAGGGCUGGGGCCAUCUUGAACUCAGCCUGUCCCCUCUGAUGCCUUAAUAAAUCUCUCUGGCUUUCCCAACUUGGCCUUGGACGUUCCUCCCUCGGCAAACCUAAUACUCCCCAGAAUCUCCCCCGAAGUGCACACCUGCCAAAAUCUUGAUUUUAGCUCAUGAGCCUGGGAGUAGAGCCAGUCAAGCCCCCCUGAAACGCUGACCUACAAAAGUGAAAAAAACCGAGAGAGUGAAUGAAUGUGAUUUUAGCCACCAAGUCUGUGGUAUUUGGCAAGAGAAAACUAAGACAGCAAGCUUGUGGUUGUUCAAUUCCUAAAUGAAUUAAGACCUUUUGAAUGAAUCGUCAUUUCUGAAACAUAGACUAUUUAUCCAUCUUAUGUGUUGUGUCGUAUAUUAUUUAGGUAUUUUGGGUUUUGGCUUUUGUUUCUGUUUUUUUGUUUUGUUUUGUUUUGUUUUGUUUUUGUUUUUGUCUUCUGAAAGCCAGUUCAUUCAUGUAUAUAUUUUAAGAAGUAAAACACAGUAAUUGUGUUAACUGGAUUUUUUCCUAACUUGUUAUGAUUUGGGGUUAUAUUAUUUUCAUUAUUAGCAGGACAAAAUCAGAACUAUGGCCCUGCACAAUCCUAUUUGGUUUAGUCCAUUCUUUCUAAAACUGCAAAGGAUUAUUUCUUCAGAAAGUUCAGGCAUAUUCAAACAUGGUGAAAUAAUAUUUCAAAUCACAAUAUCAUUUCAUUUUGGGCAUUUUGGGUGGAAACAGCUUAUCAAAAUUUUUCAUGCCUUCAGUUCACAGAUUCUUGAUUUGUCCAUGCUAGUUGUAAAGUGAUUCUGUUGUGCCUACCACAUCCUUCUCAAAAAAGAAAAA